GAAGACAGCUGGUUGUCAUCAUGGAUUCAGCUCAUCUAGAAAGCUCCCCAUUGAGUAUGCUGGCUGCAAAAUCUUUUCCCAUCCUGUCCUGGGCAAUGUCCCAAGACUAUAAUUCUGCAGUAAAGCUGUUGAUCUGUAUUAAGAGAGGGAGUUUUUGCAACCAGUAAAAGAGUGGCCCAUCCCAAGAUGGACAUGUCUAAGUUUGAAAGUGACCUCAGGAAUUCAAAGGGGCUGGAGUUUCCAUUUGAUUGGAGCUGAAUGAUAGCAGAGGAGGAAUCUCUGAACACGGCUCCUGAAUGCUUGGAGAGGAUGGCUACUGAUGAGAGCCUCUUCGAGAAAGAGCACAGGUUUGAAUCAGCAUUGGCUUUCCACGUUAGAGCUCCCAACACUUCCCAAUGCCAGAAUUUUGAUUCUCAGCAUGCGUUGAAGAAUGUUAUAGCUAUGGAAGAAUAAAACAUCCUGUGACUCAAUUCAGAGUCUCUUCUCAGGUUUAAAAAAAGCUGGAGAAUCUAUUCCCAAGUUGGAGGGGAUAGAACUAUAAUUAGAAUUGUUUUUUCAUAUGUGGUUUGAGAAAGAGGGGAGCCCCCAGUGGUGACAAUCUGAUGAUGGGUACAACAAAAAACAGGAGAAAGGUGGAAAUAUGGCUUUUAUCCCAUUGAGACUUAGAAGGAAAGGUAGACCCAGGAGAGGAGUGACUAGGUUGGGUGGCUAUAUUCACAUCCUAACAAGGAUACCUGGCAAUGGUAGUUCCAGAGAGGAAGUGUGUCUUUUAUUUCUUCCAAGAGGAAGGUCAUCAUCCCUUUCUAAUGGUAGCUUGGCGCCAAGCUUUGCUCAUCCCAGGCUAGUUCGAUUCUAGGAGGGGACAUGGAGUCUUUCUGUAGCAUAGUAGA
Monodelphis domestica (gray short-tailed opossum) is the source of this 890-nucleotide long non-coding RNA. RefSeq lists it as uncharacterized. The record is from RefSeq and is a predicted model, not a curated record. NCBI's taxonomy places the organism in Eukaryota, Metazoa, Chordata, Mammalia, Didelphimorphia, Didelphidae.